Molecule: long non-coding RNA, 780 nt
Organism: Passer domesticus (house sparrow)
Lineage: Eukaryota; Metazoa; Chordata; Aves; Passeriformes; Passeridae
Exons: 6
Source: RefSeq, a predicted model, not a curated record
CAUUACAUAUGUGGUUUACGAUCUCGUAAUCUUUCAGUUCCCACUCCUUGUAUCUGCCAGUCUUCCGUGUGUGCUGAUGGGUGAUAGCCAAGGUUUAGUCAAUUACUGUGUUUGGCUCACAGAACUCAUUCUCUCAUGUUAUUGACAAUACCUGUCUUGGAGGAGACCAGUGCUGUGUCAGCACAACUGAAAAGCUCCAUCUCAGCUCAGGAGCUGUGACACUCAUCUUCCUGAUUCCCUUUUUAGAAACAGCUAAAGGUUGCAGGUCCCAGAUGAAUGCUAGAGUGUGAGCAGGUUACUCUGAAUACUCUGAAUACAUUGAAGUCUCUAUCAGAGCAGCUGAAAAGUGCAUUCCAUCUUGAAGCGUCUUCUUGGAGACAACUCCUUGCUUGUUGCAUUUAAAAAAUGCAAGAAACAAGGGACCUCUUAGUAGAGCAUUUCAACUGACUGUAUCUGUCCUAGAGGUUCUCAGGCACCAUGAAGCACCUUGAAGUGUGCCGUUGCAAUGUAGCUCAGAGAUUAAAUGACAGUGCUACCUUGGCAUCUAGUGGCUUAUUUUCCUGCCAGUUUGAUGAAAUGAAUCUGUUCACAGUGGGUCUAAAGGAUAUCAUGACCAAUGAGUAUCCUGAGAAAGAGGAACAGAGCUUCAUCUCGCUUCUGGUGACAAAGAAUUAUCAGGAAGAAUAAAGAUGAUAAAACAUGAUCUUACCCUGCACUCUGCAGUCUAUGGGACAUAAAUAUGUAUUGAAAUAUACAAAUAAAUGGAGUCUGGGCACAGAA